RNAcentral lists this ribosomal RNA (592 nucleotides) under Streptococcus equinus. Its description in RNAcentral is "bacterial SSU rRNA". It matches the Rfam family "Bacterial small subunit ribosomal RNA", at positions 284 to 889 of the family's 1533-position model. The record is from RNAcentral. Lineage: Bacteria; Bacillati; Bacillota; Bacilli; Lactobacillales; Streptococcaceae.
UUAAGGGGGGUCAAUGGGGGGGUGGGGUUUUCCCUUCGGGGGAGCACAGUAGGGAAUCUUCGGCAAUGGGGGCAACCCUGACCGAGCAACGCCGCGUGAGUGAAGAAGGUUUUCGGAUCGUAAAGCUCUGUUGUAAGAGAAGAACGUGUGUGAGAGUGGAAAGUUCACACAGUGACGGUAACUUACCAGAAAGGGACGGCUAACUACGUGCCAGCAGCCGCGGUAAUACGUAGGUCCCAAGCGUUGUCCGGAUUUAUUGGGCGUAAAGCGAGCGCGGGCGGUUUAAUAAGUCUGAAGUUAAAGGCAGUGGCUUAACCAUUGUUCGCUUUGGAAACUGUUAGACUUGAGUGCAGAAGGGGAGAGUGGAAUUCCAUGUGUAGCGGUGAAAUGCGUAGAUAUAUGGAGGAACACCGGUGGCGAAAGCGGCUCUCUGGUCUGUAACUGACGCUGAGGCUCGAAAGCGUGGGGAGCAAACAGGAUUAGAUACCCUGGUAGUCCACGCCGUAAACGAUGAGUGCUAGGUGUUAGGCCCUUUCCGGGGCUUAGUGCCGCAGCUAACGCAUUAAGCACUCCGCCUGGAGAGCCCCCCCCG